This 2924-nucleotide ribosomal RNA is filed under the name Staphylococcus capitis. RNAcentral describes it as "23S ribosomal RNA". It matches the Rfam family "Bacterial large subunit ribosomal RNA". The record is from RNAcentral. Lineage: Bacteria; Bacillati; Bacillota; Bacilli; Caryophanales; Staphylococcaceae.
AGAUUAAGUUAUUAAGGGCGCACGGUGGAUGCCUUGGCACUAGAAGCCGAAGAAGGACGUUACUAACGACGAUAUGCUUUGGGUAGCUGUAAGUAAGCGUUGAUCCAGAGAUUUCCGAAUGGGGGAACCCAACAUGAGUUAUGUCAUGUUAUCGACAUGUGAAUUCAUAGCAUGUCAGAAGGCAGACCCGGAGAACUGAAACAUCUUAGUACCCGGAGGAAGAGAAAGAAAAAUCGAUUCCCUGAGUAGCGGCGAGCGAAACGGGAAGAGCCCAAACCAACAAGCUUGCUUGUUGGGGUUGUAGGACACUCUAUACGGAGUUACAAAAGAACAUGUUAGACGAAUCAUCUGGAAAGAUGAAUCAAAGAAGGUAAUAAUCCUGUAGUCGAAAACAUAUUCUCUCUUGAGUGGAUCCUGAGUACGACGGAGCACGUGAAAUUCCGUCGGAAUCUAGGAGGACCAUCUCCUAAGGCUAAAUACUCUCUAGUGACCGAUAGUGAACCAGUACCGUGAGGGAAAGGUGAAAAGUACCCCGGAAGGGGAGUGAAAGAGAACUUGAAACCGUGUGCUUACAAGUAGUCAGAGCCCGUUUAUGGGUGAUGGCGUGCCUUUUGUAGAAUGAACCGGCGAGUUACGAUCUGAUGCAAGGUUAAGCAGCGAAUGUGGAGCCGUAGCGAAAGCGAGUCUGAAUAGGGCGUUGAGUAUUUGGUCGUAGACCCGAAACCAGGUGAUCUACCCUUGGUCAGGUUGAAGUUCAGGUAACACUGAAUGGAGGACCGAACCGACUUACGUUGAAAAGUGAGCGGAUGAACUGAGGGUAGCGGAGAAAUUCCAAUCGAACUUGGAGAUAGCUGGUUCUCUCCGAAAUAGCUUUAGGGCUAGCCUCAAGUGAUGAUUAUUGGAGGUAGAGCACUGUUUGGACGAGGGGCCCCUCUCGGGUUACCGAAUUCAGACAAACUCCGAAUGCCAAUCAAUUUAACUUGGGAGUCAGAACAUGGGUGAUAAGGUCCGUGUUCGAAAGGGAAACAGCCCAGACCACCAGCUAAGGUCCCAAAAUAUAUGUUAAGUGGAAAAGGAUGUGGCGUUGCCCAGACAACUAGGAUGUUGGCUUAGAAGCAGCCAUCAUUUAAAGAGUGCGUAAUAGCUCACUAGUCGAGUGACACUGCGCCGAAAAUGUACCGGGGCUAAACAUAUUACCGAAGCUGUGGAUUGUCCUUCGGACAAUGGUAGGAGAGCGUUCUAAGGGCGUUGAAGCAUGAUCGCAAGGACAUGUGGAGCGCUUAGAAGUGAGAAUGCCGGUGUGAGUAGCGAAAGACGGGUGAGAAUCCCGUCCACCGAUUGACUAAGGUUUCCAGAGGAAGGCUCGUCCGCUCUGGGUUAGUCGGGUCCUAAGCUGAGGCCGACAGGCGUAGGCGAUGGAUAACAGGUUGAUAUUCCUGUACCACCUAGUAUCGUUUUAAUCGAUGGGGGGACGCAGUAGGAUAGGCGAAGCGUGCUGUUGGAGUGCACGUCCAAGCAGUAAGGCUGAGUGUUAGGCAAAUCCGGCACUCGUUAGGCUGAGCUGUGAUGGGGAGAGGAAAUUGUUUCCUUGAGUCGUUGAUUUCACACUGCCGAGAAAAGCCUCUAGAUAGAUAACAGGUGCCCGUACCGCAAACCGACACAGGUAGUCAAGAUGAGAAUUCUAAGGUGAGCGAGCGAACUCUCGUUAAGGAACUCGGCAAAAUGACCCCGUAACUUCGGGAGAAGGGGUGCUCUUUAGGGUUCACGCCCAGAAGAGCCGCAGUGAAUAGUCCCAAGCGACUGUUUAUCAAAAACACAGGUCUCUGCUAAACCGUAAGGUGAUGUAUAGGGGCUGACGCCUGCCCGGUGCUGGAAGGUUAAGAGGAGUGGUUAGCUUCUGCGAAGCCACGAAUCGAAGCCCCAGUAAACGGCGGCCGUAACUAUAACGGUCCUAAGGUAGCGAAAUUCCUUGUCGGGUAAGUUCCGACCCGCACGAAAGGCGUAACGAUUUGGGCACUGUCUCAACGAGAGACUCGGUGAAAUCAUAGUACCUGUGAAGAUGCAGGUUACCCGCGCCAGGACGGAAAGACCCCGUGGAGCUUUACUGUAGCCUGAUAUUGAAAUUCGGCACAGCUUGUACAGGAUAGGUAGGAGCCAUUGAAACGUGAGCGCUAGCUUACGUGGAGGCGUUGGUGGGAUACUACCCUAGCUGUGUUGGCUUUCUAACCCGCACCACUUAUCGUGGUGGGAGACAGUGUCAGGCGGGCAGUUUGACUGGGGCGGUCGCCUCCUAAAAGGUAACGGAGGCGCUCAAAGGUUCCCUCAGAAUGGUUGGAAAUCAUUCACAGAGUGUAAAGGCAUAAGGGAGCUUGACUGCGAGACCUACAAGUCGAGCAGGGUCGAAAGACGGACUUAGUGAUCCGGUGGUUCCGCAUGGAAGGGCCAUCGCUCAACGGAUAAAAGCUACCCCGGGGAUAACAGGCUUAUCUCCCCCAAGAGUUCACAUCGACGGGGAGGUUUGGCACCUCGAUGUCGGCUCAUCGCAUCCUGGGGCUGUAGUCGGUCCCAAGGGUUGGGCUGUUCGCCCAUUAAAGCGGUACGCGAGCUGGGUUCAGAACGUCGUGAGACAGUUCGGUCCCUAUCCGUCGUGGGCGUAGGAAAUUUGAGAGGAGCUGUCCUUAGUACGAGAGGACCGGGAUGGACAUACCUCUGGUGUACCAGUUGUCGUGCCAACGGCAUAGCUGGGUAGCUAUGUAUGGACGGGAUAAGUGCUGAAAGCAUCUAAGCAUGAAGCCCCCCUCAAGAUGAGAUUUCCCAACUUCGGUUAUAAGAUCCCUCGAAGAUGACGAGGUUAAUAGGUUCGAGGUGGAAGCGUGGUGACACGUGGAGCUGACGAAUACUAAUCGAUCGAAGACUUAAUCAAU